Long non-coding RNA from Dreissena polymorpha, 706 nucleotides. RefSeq lists it as uncharacterized. The record is from RefSeq and is a predicted model, not a curated record. NCBI's taxonomy places the organism in Eukaryota, Metazoa, Mollusca, Bivalvia, Myida, Dreissenidae. The transcript has 2 exons.
AAUGCGAUCGUAGUUUCGUAACAUAUGCAAAUGAUUUUCAUUUGACCAAUCAAAUAAAAGAUUGUUGUUUACAAUGAUGUAAGCCGCUUAGUUCUACGACAAAAAAAAAUGAAACAAUAAAGCCCUAAAGUUAGACGAAAAUGGAACGAAAAGUAUAGAAAAUUCAUAAUAGCGGCAUAUAUCGUAAAAAAAUUCAAUUUCUGCUGGUGAAAAUGGUGUAUAAAUUGUUAAAAUUGAGUAGAAAUUGACGAUCGCAUCGUGAUUCGAAUGUGCGGGGUCAUCAAGGCCACGCGGUUGAGAUUUUUUUCCAUACGACGCCAUCUUGAAAAAUUCCAAAAUUGUUUACUCACUGUAGUUGAAUCGAUAAAUAUAUCGAUUUAAUUGUUCGAAACAGAAACCAACUAUGCAGUGUGACGGAGACAUACACCCUGGUCCGUUCUGUCAAAAAUACAACGUUAAGAUUUCAUUCAUGGCUGUGCAAAGCUGAAGAGUGUCCUCCGGAACUGUCAAAUGUAGACAUUUAAAAUGGACUGGUUUUGGAGCUUGUGCAUUUUGCAUCACACCAAAAGUUGAAUGCAUGAACCCGGGGCGCCAGAGGUUCUUCAAGGAUUACAUUGAACUCAAUGAACUGUAUAACAAAUACAAAGAGUGUUUUUUCACAUAAAUGUGCUGUUGCAUUUAAACAAUAAAUUCAGCUGCUACUAUA